UCUUUAACAGGAGGUUUUGAUUUUACCUGCAUGCUCCAGUGUUACAUGUUCUGUAUGUGAUUUCCCUUCCUACAUGGAGGAGCUUCCUAAGGUAUCAUAUUGUUGGAAAGAAAUUCUACUCCUAUCCCUAUGAAAUUAUGACCAGGAAAUGUCCACCAGAGCUAGUGAGUUCAGAUGCAUCUUCCUGCUUUAAAUUCUUCUUGGGAGUGGCUGGAGCUGGAGGAAGCGCUUUUCUGACAAAUCGCUAUGGGCUCAC
Ochotona princeps (American pika) is the source of this 256-nucleotide long non-coding RNA. RefSeq lists it as uncharacterized. NCBI's taxonomy places the organism in Eukaryota, Metazoa, Chordata, Mammalia, Lagomorpha, Ochotonidae. The record is from RefSeq and is a predicted model, not a curated record. The transcript has 3 exons.